This 453-nucleotide ribosomal RNA is filed under the name uncultured soil bacterium. Its description in RNAcentral is "bacterial SSU rRNA". It matches the Rfam family "Bacterial small subunit ribosomal RNA", at positions 26 to 519 of the family's 1533-position model. The record is from RNAcentral.
AGAACGAACGCUGGCGGCAUGCCUAAUACAUGCAAGUCGAACGAACACUUCGGUGUUAGUGGCGCACGGUGCGUAACGCGUGGGAAUCUGCCCUUGGGUUCGGAAUAACAGUUGGAAACGACUGCUAAUACCGGAUGAUAUCGAAAGAUCAAAGAUUUAUCGCCCAGGGAUGAGCCCGCGUAGGAUUAGCUAGUUGGUGAGGUAAAGGCUCACCAAGGCGACGAUCCUUAGCUGGUCUGAGAGGAUGAUCAGCCACACUGGGACUGAGACACGGCCCAGACUCCUACGGGAGGCAGCAGUGGGGAAUCUUGCGCAAUGGGCGAAAGCCUGACGCAGCCAUGCCGCGUGUAUGAUGAAGGUCUUAGGAUUGUAAAAUACUUUCACCGGUGAAGAUAAAUGAACCUGUAGCCGGUAGAAGAAGCCCCGGCUAACUUCGUAGCCCAAACAGCCGAC